CCUCAAAUAAGAGCCACAAACGUGGAAGAUAUAUCCAAAGGAACCAAAUUAAAGGACUGGAGAAAGUCUAGGUGAGAUGGCUUUGUCCCGUUGCAGGCGAGUUCCAAGCACAGAGAACCAAAUGGUUUCCACAGAGAACAUGUGUAGAAGGGAUUGUAACCCACAACUGUCUGAACCCAAGCACUAAGCUUCAAACCAGACUCUGUGCUGCUUCUGCUUUAUACACAGGCCCUGGCUGAAAACCCUUGACUUUACCAGGCAUGCAAGGAGAUGCUAAGUCCACUUUGGCUGCAGAUCUCUAAACGACCACGGCCCGAAGUGUCAGUUUCAAAUGCUUGUUUCAGCUCUGCCCUCCCCACAUCAAAUCCCACCUCUCUCACGCUAAAGCAUCAUAAUAUAUUUGUGCUGAGAGUUGCCUUAGAAAUCAUUCAGUAUUCAGUUCACGGGGGAAGAAACAGAAAGCCCCUAGAGGUGACCUCAUUAGCCUACAGUUGCCCUGAGAACUGGUGGCAGAAGCAGAUUGGUGUCCAGCCUCCUGAUGUACAUGCCAGUGCUCUUUCCCCCAAGCCAUGUGUCUCCUGGUCACGCCCUUUGUCCUUGCUGUCCUCUACUAUUCUCUUCUGGAAGACUCACGAUGAGAGAGCCGACUUCUCCAAGCUGCACUCCUAGCUCUCUGGGACCCAGCAGGGACCGCUGCCUUCCAGCCAGCAGUUUGAAGAAGGACAGCUACCAUCAAACACAGACUUACAGCCUCCCUGAUGCCCUGGAUGCCAGGAAAUGUCUGGACCAGUCAAGAUAAGAGCAAGGCAGAGCCAGGAAGAAAUGGGGACAGGAGUUCCUAUUUAAAUAUAUAAAGAAUCCUUUCCUAGGUAGAGAAAAGUCAUCUAGCAAUGUGACUGAUCACCUCUCCGUUUAUCUGUUUGAUCAACUGGAAUUUCUAUACAGAAGGUUUAUACAAAGAAGCCACAAACAACCAUUGUCACAAUGACCCCUACAUAAUUCCUUGUGUAAAUGCUCUGGAAAUGCACCCAGAAGUCUGGAGAAGGUCCAAUCAAACUGGGUGGCAGGAAGAAGCAAGCUCUGUUCUCAGAUCUUCAACAGAAUCACCUGGACCCUGGGGUUGCCACCACGCUAAGCCAAGGAGGCCUCUGAAUGCACGGGAGUGCAGGGUCUGAAGGGAGUUGUUAAAAGGUGUUUCUUGAUCCAGGACCAUGUAAAGACCCAGGAGAAAUAGGUAUCCCAAAGAGAACAGCGUAUAAGAUUCACAAACCAAUGACAAACACGCUGGGUUCGCUGCUGGUCUCCACAGUUGGUUGGUUCUGUAGGGCUCAGCUGCCUCUUUCUCUCUACUUCUGGUUUCAGAAAACACGAGAGAGAAGCCGAGUGCUCAUGGAGUUUCCUCAAAGACUCAGCAAAAACUAGGCUUUGUGUUCUGAGAUCAGGAAGUAACAGUGAGAGUCCAAAAUUUUCUUCCCUGACAAUGUCUCCUACUCAAGCAGGGCCUGGAAGUCACCCCCUAGAAUCAAAGCCUUGACAUAUGCAAGCUCAUAGUUUAUUGCUUCUUCUCCCAUCUGCCCGUUGACAGAUAAAUCCCAGAGGGAAUAAAAACACAUUGCCCUCAGCAGAUUAUUCUUCACUGAAGAAUACCAGUCUUUUAACACUCCGCUACAGAAAUAGCUUUCUGCCGGCUGAUGGCUUGUUGCGCUGCACUAAGAGAGCCCGCACACCUCGAAGCUUCGUCAAGCAAAGCCUAUGAUUUCACAGACCCAGAAAUGUUUUCUUUCUCUAAGCCAAUAACAUAUGCUUGGGUUUAUGCCAACUCUACCAGAGGCGCACAGAUACAAUGAGGCAUGAAGUUCAGAAUAAUAGAAAGUAGAGAGUUGGAAAGCACAGGAGAACCCAUCUAGACCAACCUGUUUUGUUGAAAAAGGAGCUCCCUGACCCAGAGAGGUUAAGGGUUUGCUGUGAGACGGUGCCCCUGGUUAAAGGCAGCAUGAGAUGCUGUCCUCUGAUCCCCAGCUUCCUAGGGCUCUUGCCUCUAGGUCACACUGCCUUGAGGCCAGGAGCUGAUAUUGAUUGAACAGAUGUGAAAACAGAAGAAAAAAAAAUUGUGGUGACUGCCCUCUGACAAUUUUCCACUUUCUUUGGACCAAUUUUCUUUGCCAUUAUCUGGAAAAAAAAAAAAUGUCCAGAAGAGCAUUUUAAAUUCAGGAAGUGGUUCUGGAACUAGGAGAAGACACACCUUGAUGACAGUAAUAUUGUCUAAGUGAGAAGGAACAAGCUCUUGAAUGUUUCUAGAAAAACCAAAUAUGAUAGGAGACCAUAAAAUUAUACUUCGUCAUAUGGAUUUCCAGUUUGAGAAAACUUAGUGGCUAAACAAAGGUGCCGCUUGAGAGAUGCAGACAGAAAUCAGCCUCUGCUUUAAGAACAAGUUGCUACGCUGAAGAAUGAGAAGAGGAAUGGGGCCCAGAGGCUGAAGGUCUGGACCAAUCUCCCUUCCCAGAUAAGCGCCUGGACCCUCGUUCCUCAGAAGCCACGUGUAAUUACCAGCUCUUUUUGGCUACAGAGCACAUGCCCAGGAGGCUUGGAGAAGCAGGAAUUUAAAACAUGCUAGUUUCAGAGCCAAGAUUGGUGACAACACCAUCAGUUACUGUUUGGGCUUCGGGAAGCCGUGGGCUGCAGCACUGGGUCUGGUGUCCUGGGCUGUGUGGGACCUCAGCAAGGUUGUUUCCUGAAAUGAAAGCUCCUCUUCUGGGGGAUGACACACCAGGACCACCUGCAGAUGAUGUUUAUGAAUCCCCCAGCAGGGGUGGAUUGAUCUUACAAUGGGACUGUGUAAUAUAAACAUUUCAUUAUUCUACAAAAGAAUACACACAAUACCACCUAAGGGUCUCUAAGAAUAGGGUUGGAGAGUGACAAUGAGAAAAUGCCACUCAAAAAGAAAUAGAGCCGCAUUCCUUCUACACAACAUUAAUAUUAACUUUACAUACAGGGGAAAAAAAUGGCAUUUUACCUUAAGAGUUAUUUGUAAACUCUCUCCACACCAUGAGAUAAAAUCAGUGCAGAGCUCAGAGCUCUGAAUUUCCUCAUUUGGGGGCUAAUAGACUUUAAUGGGGGCUCUUCUUGGCAUGCAAAUGAACGUGUGUGUCUCUGAGUGCAUGUGUCUGUGUGUGUACACACGUCCCUUUGAAGUUUAUUUACUUGGUAGCACUAAUUGUAAAAGGGCACACCCAGGGGAAUUUAAUGAGGCGACAUGCUAGAAUAUAGACAUUAGAAAGGGAAUUAAUAUUUUCCUCAUAAUAGCAAGUAGGUGAAGUCAAGUAUGAGGACAGAAGGAAAGAAAAAGGAAGGCAGGGAAAGAGGGAAGGAGAGGAGAGGAACAGGUUUUGAUGAUCGUAGAUAAGAACCAAUAAACACUGUUGCUUCACACUCCCG
Homo sapiens (human) is the source of this 3435-nucleotide long non-coding RNA. NCBI's taxonomy places the organism in Eukaryota, Metazoa, Chordata, Mammalia, Primates, Hominidae. The record is from Ensembl.